Osmia bicornis bicornis is the source of this 1143-nucleotide long non-coding RNA. RefSeq lists it as uncharacterized. The record is from RefSeq and is a predicted model, not a curated record. Lineage: Eukaryota; Metazoa; Arthropoda; Insecta; Hymenoptera; Megachilidae. The transcript has 3 exons.
CAAAGACAGCUUCUCUUGUUCCAAUCUGACAUUAACAUGAAAUUUCGCAAUCACUUCCGCAUUCUCGAAUCAUGUACCAUGGUGUAAGAUUACAACGAAAGGAAAAUGCAAAUUUUGUGGCAAUCGAAGAAAUGAUAAAGUGAAAAUAUAAUUAUAAUAUUGCCUGAAUUCUGGAAUUUACAUUCGACAUCAUAGAAUUUCGCAACGUGGACGAAUCAACGAUGGGAACAAUAAAAGAGUUCACUAUGAUUGUCGACUAUGUUCUCAAGGAAACUGUUCGAAAUUCGAUUCGGCUCAUUUGCGUGUUGGAUGACAAAAAAGUUGCUUUUCGAUGGACAUGCGACGAAAUGCAACACCGAACACUCUCAAUAAAUUAUUUAUUUCAUGAUAAGAAAAAUUAAUAACGAUGGGUAAAUUAUUUAUCUAGACAGUACGCUCGUCGAAUGAUGGAUUUACGUUCACUUUAAGCGAUCUACCUGUUCCAUUUACCGAAUGAUUGAUGUCAUUUCACAAAUGUCUAUAAUUUAUAGAAAUCACAGUUGGGAACUGUAUAUUGCUUUUACAAAUGAGCGAAAGUUGCAUUUAAAUGACGGAAAACAGAAUCCCUGAUAAAUAACAAUGAAUAAAGGAAUUAUGAAUCAAUGUCCAGUUACUUCGAACCAUAUAAAGUAAAAUCAUAUAAAGUUGAUAUUAUAAUUAAAGGAAUAAAUCAAACAAUCCCGUUAUUUCAAAUGAAUAUUUGAAAAGAACUCUAUUCUCAUUCAUAGAGAAAUAUUCUUUGAAACAGUAGAAACUAGAUAAUAUAUUAAACCUGUGCAUACAUCUGAUAAAGCAUAAAUAUUACAGCGACUUUCUGCCCUGAAUCACAAGAACAUUGAAUCAAAUUAACCCACUCAAUAUAACUGAAAUCAUGGUUGUAGUGUCAUUGAACUUUCGCGUAAGCUGAAUGAAAAAAAAAAAAUUCCGUUAAACAAUAAAAUCCCUCCGCGGGAUGUUUUAUUGCACUGAUAAAAUAUUUUAUCUGUACCUAAGAUUUAAAAUAUUCAACGAUGUGACUAAGAAAAGCUAUUACAAUUAUACCGUUACGCAUUUUUUAAGAUAAAAGAUUCCCUGAGAAGUAAUGCUAAAUACUAAGUGUUUUAA